This 67-nucleotide transfer RNA is filed under the name Salmonella enterica subsp. enterica. RNAcentral describes it as "tRNA-OTHER". The record is from RNAcentral. Lineage: Bacteria; Pseudomonadati; Pseudomonadota; Gammaproteobacteria; Enterobacterales; Enterobacteriaceae.
GCGGGAAUAGCUCACAGAGCACGACCCGCUGGCACGUGGCCGCGAGUUCGAGCGCCCGUUUCCCGCC